GAUCCCUUAUAUAAAGAAAGGAAGUUAGUUUCCGCUUUAAGAUGAUAAUAAAUAUCUCGGAUAAGUAGUAGUUAAGGUAAUGGCUUAACUAGCUUAAGUCCGUAGUCGAGACUGAGAGGUCGAUCGAUCACAUUGGGUCUGAAAAAACCCCAAUACGUAUAGUACAGCAGUGAGGAAUAUUGGUCAAUGGCCUAACGGCUGAACCAGCAACUUGGAGGAAUGUAUAGCGCAAGCUAGUUGUAUUGACAUAUAGUUGGUACAACCUCGACUACGUCGAAUAAAGUUCUAGGUAGAAUAAUGAUGAUGACAAUUUUCUAUCUAUAUGUCUUGACCAAAUCACGUGCCAGCAGUCGCGGUAAUACGUGGAAGACUAGUGUUAUUCAUCUUUAAUAGGUUUAAAGGGUACCUAGACGGUUAUUUUCGCCCUAGAAGGGUACGAAUUCAACUAGAGUUUUGAUGUGAGAGGGUGAGUACUUUUGGUGUAGAGAUGAAAUUCUGUCAUACUAAGAGGAAACUGAUAACGGCGAAAGCAACCCUCUAUGUAUAAACUGACGUUGAGGGACGAAGGCUUGGGUAGCAAACAGGAUUAGAUACCCUAGUAGUCCAGGCAGACAAUAAUGAAUGCUAUAGAUUAGAUUAAAUUUGGUCUAUAAAUGAAAGUGUAAGCAUUUCACCUCAAGAGUAAUGUGGCAACGCAGGAACUGAAAUCAUUAGACCGUUUCUGAAACCAGUAGUGAAGUAUGUUAUUUAAUUCGAUGACCCGCGAAAAACCUUACCACAAUUUGAAUAUUAUAUAUAUUUAUAUAAUACAAGCGUUGCACGGCUGUCUUCAGUUAAUGUCGUGAGAUUUUGGUUAGUUCCAUUAAAUUAACGUAAACCCUUGCUUUAUUUAUUAUUUUAUUUAUUAUAAAGCCAGUUCACCGCUAUAUUGGAUAUGAUAAAA
RNAcentral lists this ribosomal RNA (943 nucleotides) under Strangospora pinicola. RNAcentral describes it as "SSU rRNA". It matches the Rfam family "Bacterial small subunit ribosomal RNA", at positions 187 to 1171 of the family's 1533-position model. The record is from RNAcentral. Lineage: Eukaryota; Fungi; Ascomycota; Lecanoromycetes; Strangosporaceae.